Molecule: ribosomal RNA, 689 nt
Filed under: uncultured bacterium
Lineage: Bacteria
Description: bacterial SSU rRNA
Rfam family: Bacterial small subunit ribosomal RNA
Source: RNAcentral
GAGUUUGAUCCUGGCUCCCGACGAACGCUGGCGGCGUGCUUAACACAUGCAAGUCGAACGGAGUGCCUAUGAAAGAGACUUCGGUCAAUGGAUUAGGUUACUUAGUGGCGGACUGGUGAGUAACGCGUGAGGAACCUGCCUUUCAGAGGGGGACAACAGUUGGAAACGACUGCUAAUACCGCAUGACACAUCGAUGGGGCAUCCCAUUGAUGUCAAAGAUUUAUCGCUGAAAGAUGGCCUCGCGUCUGAUUAGAUAGUUGGCGGGGUAACGGCCCACCAAGUCGACGAUCAGUAGCCGGACUGAGAGGUUGACCGGCCACAUUGGGACUGAGAUACGGCCCAGACUCCUACGGGAGGCAGCAGUGGGGAAUAUUGGGCAAUGGACGCAAGUCUGACCCAGCAACGCCGCGUGAAGGAAGAAGGCUUUCGGGUUGUAAACUUCUUUUGUCAGGGAAGAGCAGAAGACGGUACCUGACGAAUAAGCCACGGCUAACUACGUGCCAGCAGCCGCGGUAAUACGUAGGUGGCAAGCGUUGUCCGGAUUUACUGGGUGUAAAGGGCGUGUAGCCGGGCCGACAAGUCAGAUGUGAAAAUCCGCGGGGCUUAACCCGCGAACUGCAUUUGAAACUGUUGGUCUUGAGUAUCGGAGAGGUAAUCGGAAUUCCUAGUGUAGCGGUGAAAUGCGUAGA